CGCGAGGCCAUUCCUACGUCAUGUGAGCGCCAUUUUCAUCAUUUUACCGUUAUUUCCUCAGGCACACUUCAACAUUUUCUUCGCAUUUAACAUCAUUAUUAGCAUGUAAAUAAUAUAAUUCGUAAACAUAACGUUUAUGUUCAUUUAUAAUAUGUUUUUUUUUUUGUAAUUGUUGGCUUUAAGUUAAUUUGUCUGUCAGUUUGUUCGUGUUGUUUUCUACAGUAGUCUGUUAACAGUAGACCAAAGGUAUGAUGAUCAAUUUUAAAUGCAAUAUGGUUGAAAGGUCAGUAAACAAACAACAAAAAGGUAAUUUCUUAAUAGAAUGUCUGUACAUUUUUUGCUUUUGUUACAUAUUUCAUACAUCAAAAUCCUUAAACGUUAAUAAUUAUGUAUUCCAACUUGUUGCAGCUUGACAAAAAUGUAGCUUGAAGGAGAAGGGACAGCUGAGAAACAAAGUCCUGGUACGCAGACGACGAUACUAUUACACUGACAAGAGUGUAAUGAUGAUGGAGACACAAGCCAGAGAAAGGGUGGACCAAACACCAGGCCAGAAUUCUGCACGAGUCAGCUCCAGUGGGUGCAGAUUAUCAUACAGAUGGUUAAAGUGUGGAUCCACCUAAUAUUCAAGAUUUUCUGUCCUGGGACCCUCGGCUAACCAUCAAGAAAGAACACACUCCAGUGGGCAUCCUUUAUCCAUCCAGACCCUCAUACAGAUGGUUGGAGUUUUGAUUCACCUAAAGUACCAUGCAAGAGCACUCUUUUUCACUCUUGAGACCAUGGUGUGACCUGCAAGGUCGAACGGAGACUGUAAACAAGACAAUAUUGGAGUCACCUGCAUUCACUGGUCCAGUUGUUAGCCCAAUUACAGAUGGAGAGUAUAGAAGAGGAUGAUGUCUUUUCUCCAACAUCUUUCUAGACUGAUAAAAGAUCUAGACAGGCUCGAACAAAAGUUAACAGAGGGGCUUAUAUAGAGAAUGGUAAGAACCUAUCCGUCAAACUUUUCACCAAUUAUUGUAAACAUAAACAAUAUUAUAGGGCUUAAUUUGUUUUAAACAUUACUUCAAUGUACUGUAUCUGUUUAAGGUGAGCAGCUACACAUAAAAGAAGAACAUGGAGAAUCUGCUCAAAGGUGUUAACCAGCAAUGCAGCUAUACAACUAAAUUGAUGCAGGCAACACAAGCGAGAAUGCAGCUGCAGAUGAAGAAUCCGUCCGUCUACCACUGAAGGAGACACAGAAAAUCCAUCCAAUAUGUUCUUUGCCCGAGGAAGCAUUUGAUUAUUUUAAAGAUGUUGUGUUUCUUUGUAUGUUAGAGAAAAACGUUGCUUUUUUGCAUAAGAUCGUGUAAAUAUGCAUGUUUUCCUUUGUCUAAUUUUAAUAAAUUUUACGCAAUCAA
Non-coding RNA from Misgurnus anguillicaudatus (oriental weatherfish), 1394 nucleotides. NCBI's taxonomy places the organism in Eukaryota, Metazoa, Chordata, Actinopteri, Cypriniformes, Cobitidae. The record is from RefSeq and is a predicted model, not a curated record.